Molecule: ribosomal RNA, 253 nt
Filed under: uncultured prokaryote
Description: partial 16S ribosomal RNA
Rfam family: Bacterial small subunit ribosomal RNA
Source: RNAcentral
UACAGAGACUGCAAGCGUUAUUCGGAUUCACUGGGCGUAAAGGGCGCGUAGGCGGCCUUGCGUGUCUUUCGUGAAAUCCCUCGGCUCAACUGAGGACGUGCGGAAGAAACUGCAGGGCUCGAGUCCGGGAGAGGGGGGUGGAAUUCCCAGUGUAGCGGUGAAAUGCGUAGAUAUUGGGAGGAACACCGGUGGCGAAGGCGGCCCCCUGGACCGGUACUGACGCUGAGGCGCGAAAGCGUGGGGAGCAAACGGG